This 464-nucleotide ribosomal RNA is filed under the name uncultured bacterium. RNAcentral describes it as "partial 16S ribosomal RNA". It matches the Rfam family "Bacterial small subunit ribosomal RNA", at positions 29 to 523 of the family's 1533-position model. The record is from RNAcentral.
AACGAACGCUGGCGGCAUGCUUAACACAUGCAAGUUGAACGCAGGAUAGGACUGCGGUUCUAUUGCUGAGUAGCAAACGGGUGAGUAACGCGUGGGAAUCUACCUUUUUGUGGGGGAUAACUGAGGGAAACUUCAGCUAAUACCGCAUAAGCUCUACGGAGGAAAGGCUUCGGCCGCAAGAAGAGGAGCCCGCGUCAGAUUAGGUAAUUGGUAGGGUAAAAGCCUACCAAGCCAAUGAUCUGUAGCUGGUCUGAGAGGAUGAUCAGCCACACUGGGACUGAGACACGGCCCAGACUCCUACGGGAGGCAGCAGUGGGGAAUGUUGGACAAUGGGGGAAACCCUGAUCCAGCAAUGCCGCGUGAAUGAAGAAGGCCUUAGGGUUGUAAAGUUCUUUCACCUGUGAAGAUUAUGACGGUAGCAGGAGAAGAAGCCCCGGCUAACUCCGUGCCAGCCGCCGCCGUAA